GUUUUUUCACCUGCUCGUGCUCCAGCCCGCAGGGAUGUUACUGUUUCCUGUAGUUGCUAACUCCAUGAGACCUUAUGUUCUGUUUGGCCUCUUCAGUUCCUCAGUGUCUAGCUAGUGACUAAGUGAAAGUCUCAGCAUAACCCAUGCGGUUUCUUCUCCUGGAGGCCCUCAGCUGACAAGGAGUACAUCAACUAGAGAGCCCUUGGAGAGCUUGACAUGUAUCCCCUACAGUUCUGGGAGCAGAGCAGAAGAAUGUCAUCCCACUCAGGAAACUCAGGGGCAAGAGGGUUCUCAAAAGAGCACCCCAUGAGACAGUCCAUUGUCAACACCUCCAGACCUGGAGAACAUGAAGUCAUCUUACUAUGGUACCAGUCAGGUGAAGAUGCUCCUGGCUCCCCUCUCCCUCUCCCUCUCCCACCUCCUCAGACUUCAAUCCUGAGGGUCCAAAAACAGUUUAGAAAGUUGAGGACAAGGGAGUAAACCGAAGCCAGAGCAGGAAACAGAUUAUAACUUCUUCCACACACCUGUAUCUCAUAGGAAACCCUUGUAGGGAAAGGAGAAGAGUCUUAAAAUCACUUUUUGACUUCCAAUUACUUAGGACUGACAGGAUAAGGGCCAAAUUGAGACAUUUGGUGAUUUAAAGUGAUGACCUCUUUUUACUUAAAAGUGACAGAGAGAGAGGGAGAGGGGG
Molecule: long non-coding RNA, 691 nt
Filed under: Heterocephalus glaber (naked mole-rat)
Lineage: Eukaryota; Metazoa; Chordata; Mammalia; Rodentia; Bathyergidae
Description: lncRNA (ENSHGLG00000032161.1)
Source: RNAcentral